This 250-nucleotide long non-coding RNA is filed under the name Elaeis guineensis (African oil palm). RNAcentral describes it as "long non-coding RNA (EGUI_LNC025793)". Lineage: Eukaryota; Viridiplantae; Streptophyta; Magnoliopsida; Arecales; Arecaceae. The record is from RNAcentral.
UUAUGAAUGUCACUAAUUAACUAUUAUUUCUUUAGGAACAAGAUUUAAUUUUUGAAAUUUAAAUUAGGUUUCCUCUAAAGUUGAUUUCACCACACCAUAUGAGAUAUGAUUGUUAGAAUUUUAUGGUUUCAUAUACGCAUGAUUUUACAAAACUAGUAUACAGUAAAAUUUAAAAAUUUUUCAGAUUAAAUCUAAUUUAAUCUAAACAUGCAUAAUAUCAAAUAUUCAAACCAUAAAUAGGAUCAUCAUA